CUUCGAUAUAUAUUAUUAUUAUAUUAAAUUAGAUUCAGGCUGCGAAUUUUUUGUCGCCCUGUGAUUACGGUCCCACAAUCUAAACUUUUAGUUUUGUCCUGUCUGACAGCGACAUUUACUCAAAAAAUAAUAGAAAAGGAGAGUAUCUUAAUUUUGUCGAAAACUUAUUUAUUCAGUAAAUUAAAUACGAAUUUAAGACGACCAAUCAAAUAGCGCUACGUUCCGGUAUUCAACGGAAUCUUCUACAAAUUCGUUAUCCAUUCCAAUCAUGAAAAAACUAAAGUUAGGUCUUGUCCAAAAAAA
This 303-nucleotide long non-coding RNA is filed under the name Ananas comosus (pineapple). Its description in RNAcentral is "long non-coding RNA (ACOM_LNC019978)". The record is from RNAcentral. Lineage: Eukaryota; Viridiplantae; Streptophyta; Magnoliopsida; Poales; Bromeliaceae.